AUACCUUUCUUGGCCUUUUGGCUAAGAUCAAGUGUAGUAUCUGUUCUUAUCAGUUUAAUAUUUGAUAUGUGGACCAUUGGUUCACACGAUAUUAAAUUAAUUUUUUGAGGGGGAGGGUCCAUUAUAGUAGCUUGCUACUGGGGCUCUCACGUGUUGCCCUUGCAUUGCACUACUGCACGGGCCUGGCACACCCCAC
This 196-nucleotide small nuclear RNA is filed under the name Glycine max (soybean). RNAcentral's name for it is "snRNA U2". It matches the Rfam family "U2 spliceosomal RNA". From Rfam's summary of the family: U2 is a small nuclear RNA (snRNA) component of the spliceosome (involved in pre-mRNA splicing). Complementary binding between U2 snRNA (in an area lying towards the 5' end but 3' to hairpin I) and the branchpoint sequence (BPS) of the intron results the bulging out of an unpaired adenosine, on the BPS, which initiates a nucleophilic attack at the intronic 5' splice site, thus starting the first of two transesterification reactions that mediate splicing. The record is from RNAcentral. Lineage: Eukaryota; Viridiplantae; Streptophyta; Magnoliopsida; Fabales; Fabaceae.